Molecule: transfer RNA, 73 nt
Filed under: Diaphorina citri (Asian citrus psyllid)
Lineage: Eukaryota; Metazoa; Arthropoda; Insecta; Hemiptera; Psyllidae
Rfam family: tRNA
About the family: Transfer RNA (tRNA) molecules are approximately 80 nucleotides in length. Their secondary structure includes four short double-helical elements and three loops (D, anti-codon, and T loops).
Source: Rfam by way of RNAcentral
GCCUAGUUAGCUUGGAGGGUAGAGCGUCUGCCUUGUAAGCGCUAGGCCGCGGGUUCGAUUCCCGCCCAGGGCU